Non-coding RNA from Musa acuminata subsp. malaccensis (wild Malaysian banana), 363 nucleotides. Lineage: Eukaryota; Viridiplantae; Streptophyta; Magnoliopsida; Zingiberales; Musaceae. The record is from RefSeq and is a predicted model, not a curated record.
CCAGAUGCCUAGUCAGAACCAAAUGAAGCAGAACAACACUGCUGAAGUUGGAAUUGCCAAAACCCAUAGUAUCACUGUCAAUGGUCACAAUUCAUCGUGAGAGACUGUCUACUGGAAUAGGGAUGAAGUGAUGCAUCAUCACUUGUGAACUCUGCCCAUUAUACUUUGCCAGGGAAGCUUCGAUGAACUGCUUUAUGGCAUUUAGCCAGUGAGAGUACUCUCAAGAGCUUUUAGAGUGGGCUGGCAAACUUGCAGAGUCCAACCAAGUUAUUACAUUAAUUGCUUGUCAUGUUAUAAAGUUGCUGAACUAGUUCAUAUAUAUAAUCAUCUUUAUUAUUAUUAUUAUCCAGUUACAGUUUAUUU